Molecule: ribosomal RNA, 253 nt
Filed under: uncultured bacterium
Lineage: Bacteria
Description: partial 16S ribosomal RNA
Rfam family: Bacterial small subunit ribosomal RNA
Source: RNAcentral
UACAGAGGGGGCAAGCGUUGUUCGGAAUUACUGGGCGUAAAGGGCGCGUAGGCGGCCUGUUAAGUCGAACGUGAAAUCCCCGGGCUCAACCCGGGAACUGCGUCCGAUACUGGCAGGCUUGAAUCCGGGAGAGGGAUGCGGAAUUCCAGGUGUAGCGGUGAGAUGCGUAGAUAUCUGGAGGAACACCGGUGGCGAAGGCGGGUCUCUGGGCCGAUACUGACGCUGAGGAGCGAAAGCGUGGGGAGCGAACAGG